RNAcentral lists this long non-coding RNA (407 nucleotides) under Rhinolophus ferrumequinum (greater horseshoe bat). Its description in RNAcentral is "lncRNA (ENSRFEG00010009889.1)". The record is from RNAcentral. Lineage: Eukaryota; Metazoa; Chordata; Mammalia; Chiroptera; Rhinolophidae.
UGACUUUGGUGUCCUAAACGAGAGGCUCUCCCGCCUGCGACUCUCCGCGCAUGCCCAGGUUUCCGACUACUCCGGAGGCCGCGACAGUCCUGCUUUCUCAGCUGGUAGUCCAGGCAUUACCCCUCCCCCGGCGGCGGCAUUGGCGGCCGUGUUGUUGUCGCGGUGGCUGCGGUCGCCUGACCCUGUGCGUCGCUACUGCGGGCCGGACCAACCGCUUUACCGCAGAUCUGUUUGUCUUUCCAGUCAGACCAGAGAGGAAGGAGUCUGGGAAAUCUGGUUUCAUACUUUUUAAUUCGUCCUUGUUGACAAGGAUUAAUUUAUUUUUGGAAAUCAAGUGCAAUAUUAAAACGAAAACAAACCAUACUACAUUAUUGGAAGCCAUUUCUUCUAAUUUUAUUGCAUUUUAA